Molecule: long non-coding RNA, 172 nt
Filed under: Ficedula albicollis (Collared flycatcher)
Lineage: Eukaryota; Metazoa; Chordata; Aves; Passeriformes; Muscicapidae
Description: lncRNA (ENSFALG00000016804.2)
Source: RNAcentral
CAUGUAUAGUCCUUGCUGCCGUCCCUCCGUGCAGCGGGAUCACCGGCUGGCGAGCGCCUGUGCGCGGUGAGCUGGGAACAACUGGUGUGUAGUGGGUGGUGCAACAGACAGGCCUGUCAUUGCUAAGACAAGAUAAACCUGAAAGGGAGGACAGAAUAAAAACCAGGUGGAA